CACACACACACACACACACACACACACUGCAUUUAAAUUAAACUACAUCUGUUUAAUAAUGAUGGCAUUUCUUAGAAUCAGUCAUAUUUCUCCUUUAAUAAAAUAUAAAAACAAAUAAAUACAGACACAGGAUCUUUUAAGGUGGUCACACUCUUCAGUCUCUCUAGAAACAUCUACACCAUGGUUCUCACAACGAGAGGCUGCCUGUUAGUCAGAUAUUUGACUGUGUCCUGUAGAGUGUCCUGUGGGGAAGAAGCUGGAAGUGUGAGCUAUCAGGUAUCAUACGUGUUGAUGGGCUGUUCAGAGUUUUCCUCACAUUACUGCAGACUCAUUCCUGAUAGGCUGAAGCUUUUCACCAAUUCUGUCCAUAACUUUUAUGUAAAUGAUUUAUAGAUGUGAGUUAAAGGCGUCACUUUUGGUUGUCUCAGCAUUCCACCACGUUCUAAAUUAUUAUGCAAAUGAUAUUUUUCUCUGAUUUUUUUCCUAAAUAGUCGAUUCAAAUGACAGUCAGCAUAAUUUUCGAGUCAUCAACCUUUACAGUAUAAUUCAAAUGUAACUCAACAAAACUGCCAAUGAAAACAGUAUGUUCUUCAAAAAUAAAAAACUUAAAAUGCACUGUUCCAAAUUAUUAUGCACACAGAGUUUCAAAAUAUUUUAUACAUUGUAGAGAAUUGAAAAUGGUCAUUUGUUGAAUUUGCAGCAUUAGGAGAUCAAUUUUACUGAUAUCAAAAGCAAUUUUAAUCAAAAACAUCUUAACAGGUCAAGUUACAUAUUAACAUAGGACCCCUUAUUUGAUAGCAGUUUUACAAUUCUUGCAUCCAAUCAGUCAAUCAAUCAAGGCUUUAUUCGCCACAUGCAGGUUGCCCUGCAGUGAAAUGGGACACCCCCCCCCCCGACCUUACACACACAACACAGACAUUACAUGGGGGUACAAGUCGGAGAUCGGUAGCAUUACAGAAAAAACAUUGAAAUAUACAUUACAAUGGGAAAGUACAAGAGGAAAAAAAGAGACCUCUACUCAUGCUGGGCUCCUGGGAGGACAGCAUGAGAACAGGAAACAAAAAAACUCCUCUGCACAAAAAGCACAUAAAUGUCCACAGCACAACAUUAUGGAACACGUGACAAGCCACAGGGAUGGGUAGGGGUUGAGGAGUAAUCCGAAGCAGACACAGCAGCUAUCCUGCCCAACGCUACCAUUCCAGCGCGGGCUCAGACCCGCCGUGUUCUCCAGGAGGGCACAAGCAUCGAAGGCGUUUGGAAAGGGAGGGGGGAUGAGUGAGUGCUUAUCAGUGUAUGUGUGUGUUUGCGUGUCUAGAGUUCAGCUGAGACAGUGUCCUUCGCCCUGCCAGGCUAAGUAAACAGUCUUCCAGCCAACCCAGGUGGCCUUGCAUGGAAUGGGAAGGAACAGACUCAACACAGUCGUUAUCAGGGAGUUUUUGUUCAGCUCCAGCCUUGAGACCGCAGCUGCCGCCGAAGGGAUAGCUGCCUUAUGAUGAUUACCCAUGGAAACAUCUGCCAUUACAAUUAUCUCAUGCACCUGCUCGCUGGACUUACCUGCAUACAGCUCAGCCACAGCUACGUUGCAGACUCCAUUCUGUUUCUCGCCUGCCCACCCCCGCUUCACUACCUGUGAUCUUGGAUCAAUUCAUACCAACAUUCACCCGGACCUCCGCAACCUCGCCUCGCCCUCUCACGUUCCUUCACCUGCAACAAAUGUCUCAGGCUACCGGCUCUAGCACCCCUGUGUCCUCAUCAACUUAUAAUAACUGAUAAUUCAUGCUCUAGCUCGAGAAUCUUGUUACGUCAUGUGCCUAUUACCCUGAUCGUAACCCAAGUUGGUAGUUAUAGUGUUUUCCUCUCAUCAUUGUAUAUAGCCUGUUGGCCAUGUUCACAGUUACAGUAUUAACUCACGCACAUGUAUAUAGCUCAUAGGUCUAAUAUUUAGCUCACGCCUUUGCAUAUAGUUCCCAGUCCAAUCUUCGCCAACGUGGGUAACUUGAUGAACUGGUGGGGAAGAGAUGACAAUGCUGGUCUUAAAUAUCCUUAGCAGACUGCUCCAGGUAAGGUGAUGACACCUCUGCCUCGGGCAGGUGCAGGAGAACAUGGACUCAGUGGAAUUUUCCAGCAGCUCACUAGGACUGUGAUAGUAUCCUAUUGUCAAUGGAAAAUUGUACUUAGUAGUCAGUAUAAGCUUUUAAUGAUAUAAGUUUACAUGUGAUAGAAUACUGCAUGAUGACCUUUUUAUGACUUAGACUGUUGUCCACUUUAAGAUUUGUUUCUGUUUUAUAAAUUCUUUCCCACAGCGAUAAUAGCUGAACAAGCAGUUUAUCUCCGACCAGGAAGAGGAGAGUUGGACACUUUUAUCUGCGCUCCCUAACAACAAGAGGGGCCGCGUCCUUCAGAAUCAUACACCUAACAUACGCACAUACAUACGCACCAACAUUCCUCUGUCUAUUCACUAUUGUAUUACUUUUGCAUAUAAAUAAAAACCAGGGCAGUGGCAGAGCGCUGAUCACAGGGCCCCCACUCUCGUAAUAUCUUUGGGCAAGAUACUAACCCCAAGUUGGCCUCCGAUGCAUUCAUCGGACUGUGAAUGUAGUUUAGUUUGCACUUGUGUUUAGAAGUGCUUGUAUGAGUGGGUGUGAAUGGGUGAAUGAGGCAUGUUGUAUAGAGCGCUUUGAGUACUCCAGGAGAGUAGAAAAGCGCUAUAUAAGAAUCAAUCCAUUUACCAAAACA
Long non-coding RNA from Oreochromis aureus, 2736 nucleotides. NCBI's taxonomy places the organism in Eukaryota, Metazoa, Chordata, Actinopteri, Cichliformes, Cichlidae. The record is from Ensembl.